Aegilops tauschii subsp. strangulata is the source of this 3649-nucleotide long non-coding RNA. RefSeq lists it as uncharacterized. The record is from RefSeq and is a predicted model, not a curated record. NCBI's taxonomy places the organism in Eukaryota, Viridiplantae, Streptophyta, Magnoliopsida, Poales, Poaceae.
UUUGCACAUAACCUCCUCUGAACCCCAUCUUUCCUGUUUAGGCUUCUCUCCCAACUCGUCGAACCAUCUCGAAACUAAUGGAAUCACCGACGGACAUCACUGGAAUCGAUCUGGCGGGGCAGCCGGUGCUGGCGCCGUCCACCCCAGCGCCUCUCACGCUUCUCAGCCCCACCGCCCACCACCAUGAUGCACCUCCACCUCGACGUCCUCUCCGCCCCCUUGCCCGUCUCCUCCAACGCCGACCUCAACAAGCACGCCGUCGAUGUCGUCCGUCUACGGACGCCUCUCCUGCCUCCUCCGACACAAUAGUUCGAGCGCUCCCAUUACCGCCACCUCCCCGUGCUCCUCGUCAUCCCCUACACCCGUCCUCAUCUCCUUUGUUACCAGCCGCCGCAAGCCGUGCCUCCCACCACCACCACGACCUCCUUCUCGUGGCCAUCUCCUCCGCGUGCUUCCCCGUCUCCCUCGACGCCACCGACGCCAACCUCCACAAGUACGCCACCGGCGAGGUCGUUCCCCGGCGAAUCUCCCCUUCCUCGGGGUCUCCUCCAUCCCUGCCCCGUCUCCUAUAUACUGCAAAAGGAGCACAAGGUUGAGCACACCCACACCUAGGCCAAGGAGGAUGAGCGUGCCGCUGCUGAUGGGACAAGCAGGAGAGAGAAAAUCUUCUCGUUUUCCACCACGCCACCCUCUGUUGGCCACAACAGCUUAGACGAGGACGGCACAUCGCGGAAGUCAGUCGAUUCUUCGGCCUUCGACCCCAACGGUAGCGGCCUUCCGAGAUCGAUCCUCGCCCGUCCAGGUACAAAUUGCUCUGCUUCACCGAUGUCGGUCGCUUCACACACACUAGGUACUCGACAAAAGGCCAGAGUAUGUAUACUGUCUUCUAGGUCUUUCAUAGUAUUAGCCAUUCAGUUUGUAGGUGCAAUUUCCAUAUGAUUGUAUUACAAAAUUACUGCAAACGUUACGGAUUAGCAUCUAAUUCAAAGAUGUAAACAUGGCCAAAUGUCACAACUCACAAGUACCAUUUAUCUUCCUUUUGAAUUAGAAGUUCUAUACAGGUGACAUGACAUGGUUUCAUUCCGUACAUUAUCCUGCCUCUGUUUUCAAGCUAUGUCUUGGAUCACCAUUCCAAGGCAUAUGGGCGCUACAUUUGUGAAACUCUGUCAACCUUACAUAUCUAAUAGCAAAAGGAGGAUAUACACUAUGGAAACUUUUGGACAAUUACAUCAUUGAGCAACAGUCUGUUUAGAACUGAUAAUUGGAUACUUGUCGAAUUUUGCAUCUACAGUCUAGCGAGGCACCUAAUUUUCAGUACGAACAGAUCUUUUGGUGCCUCCCUUUCCAUUGAAUUAUAUGUGGUUGUACACACUUUUUUUUCUUUGCCUGUAUUGUGUAAACUAAAGCACGCGUGCCUCCCUCCGUGCGGCGGCGCCGCGCCGCACCCCGCCGGGCCCUCCUCCCCCCGUGCGGCGGCGCCGCGCCGCGCCGGGGCCUCCCUCUCCUCCCGCCGCCGCCGCCGAGGGCAUCGCAGGCUAAGCCUGCGGGCCGCAACGGUGGCGGCGGCAAUCUUCCUCGGCCGGCGAUCGGAUCUGGGUGGCGGCGACCCACUCCGACCGAUCCAAGGGCGAUGGCGCAGGCCGGUGGCGACCACAGUUGUCGUGCUGGUGGCGGCGACGAAGAGAUCACGUCGGCGGCUAGGGUGUCCGAUCUGGAUCCCAUUCGGAUCUGGAUGGUGGUUCCUCGAGCCGUCGUGCGCAUCCUUUGUUCCGGCGCGGCAAGCGGCCUCUGGAGUAGGCAUGCGACACGAGGACGUCGGGGGCUUCGGCCCUUGGCGUGGAGGUGGUGGCCAUCUUCUUCGCCGGAGGUGGUCGGCUAGAUGGUUGUGGAUUCUCGCAUCUAGUCCCGGCGUACAGUGGGGAGACGGGGCUGCCGGUGAAAACCGUGCUAUGACUCGGGAAUGGCGGGCGAUGGCGGCGUUUCCGCGUCGUUAUCUUGUUGAAGACAUCGCCUCUGCAGCUUCUGUCGACUUGCUUGCGCUGCUCUGGGUGAAAACCUUGAUCCGGAGUUUCCGGAUCGGACGAUGGCGGUGCUUUUGGGGCGUCGUUUUCCCUCAUGGGGGCAUCGUUUUUUGAGCAGCGGCUGGAUGCAGGACCAGAGGACGGAUUCUUUGGUGGAGCGGUGCAGCAUCUCACUCAUUGAUGGCGGCAGGUCUCGGCGGCAUGGCGCUGUGGUGACUCUGCGUCCGAUGCGCGGAGAUGGACUCGCGCAGGAGGGUGACGCGGUCUGGCGUCGUGGUGGCAUCGACGGCAGCUAGACCAGGCAAGGUAGAUGCAGCAGUACAGCUCUGAAGAUGGAUUGGUGGCAGGUGGCUGCGCCGGACUGGUAGGUGACCCAUACCCGGCAGUCGACCUGGAUGGGACCUCAGGUCUUAGAUGUUAGGUUUGGCUGCGAGGUCUGUUUGGUACUAGGCCCAGACUAUCAGCAUCCCUUCAUCUCUUGGAUAGGAAUAGCGACACUUUUGUUGCCUAGACGGUGGCUUCAGUCUUACUGUUGUAUGACUUUGUAAGGUCUUGUGUGAAUAAUUAAUAAAGUGGCUGCAUGCAUCGUCUAGAUGUCUAGAUGAGGCCGGGGGUCCUCCUCCAUUUCAAAAAAAAAAAACUAAAGCACGCGUAGUUGCUCUAGCUGUCAGUAAAUUGCAGUUGCACUUGCGAGCAUCCUGGCGGUGGAGGCAAGCGGCGAUCAGGAUGCUGCUGUAUUGUGCGCUGACGAGGCGGUGGGGCACCGUACAGGGGGCACACGGUGGAGGAGUUCACACAUCGGAUUUCUGAUUGGCGGCUGUUCGAAUGUGGUGUCCAAGGACGAGGGGUAAAGGUGUUAGACUGCUGCCAGGGGAGGCGUAUGGUUCUGUCAGUAUGAUGAGGCAACACGCUGGUCACACUCUCACAUCUUCAGAUCAAACAGAGUGUGGAGGUGGGAUUCACUGCCCUUCGCCUUCUGAUGCUUCGUCAAGGUACAAUAUAAUUCCACCUGGACGCGCAGAUUUGGGUGAAAAAUUUGAAUUUGAGAAAUGACAUGAUAGGCAGAAUGAGGUUUGGGGAAUGAAAGGCAGUAGUUGAGCAGAGCACGUCCAUGUGCAUCACACCAGAACAUACCGCGGAGCGCGUCGGCGGUGAGGAUGAGCAGCGCGCAGCCAGCGGCAUACUUGUGGCGGUCUGGCGUCCGAGGAGACGGGGAGCAUGCAGAUGAGAUGGUGAUGAUGAGGAGGAGGUGGCGACGGUGGGUGGAGGGAUGAUGCAGCAAGGGAGGAAGCGGGGGUGUUGGGGCACAGACAGCGCCGGCUGUUAAUUUUCCGCGACACAACUUACGACGCGUUUGUCGUGUCAAGGCACAUAUGUUUCAUGAGACUAUUGGUUUUAUGAAAUAAAAUCAUAUGCUACCUUUCAUUGGUAAUGCAGUGCACAAUAAAGACCUGAUUUUGUAGCACUAUAUUGUACGCAUUAGAUCUGGUAAGGCUCACCUUGUGUUUUUUUUUAUCUUUUAUUCUUUUGUCCCCCUAAAAAAUUGUUUGGCUUGGACGAAGAGAUUUAUUGAUGGGAAACCAUAUGUUUGAGCGCACCUAUCAAUAAUAUAUUGUCUAUUUGAUCAA